UCUCCGUUGGUGAACCAGCGGAGGGAUCAUUAUAGAGUUUUCUAAACUCCCAACCCUUUGUGAACUUACCUUUGUUGCCUCGGCGGGGCCUACCCGGUACCGACCCCUUUUGGGCGAAGUUACCCUGUAGCCCGCCGGUGGAUAUUCAAAACUCGUUAUUUUUAAUGUUAUCUGAGCGUCUUAUUUUAAUAAGUCAAAACUUUCAACAACGGAUCUCUUGGUUCUGGCAUCGAUGAAGAACGCAGC
RNAcentral lists this unclassified non-coding RNA (246 nucleotides) under uncultured fungus. RNAcentral describes it as "sequence contains ITS1, 5.8S rRNA gene". The stretch from base 198 to 246 matches the Rfam family "5.8S ribosomal RNA", at positions 1 to 49 of the family's 154-position model. The record is from RNAcentral. Lineage: Eukaryota; Fungi.